GACGAACGCUGGCGGCGUGCCUAACACAUGCAAGUUGAGCGACGAACCAGGGCUUGCCCUGGGGCAAAGCAGCGAACGGGUGAGUAACACGUGGGUAACCUACCCCGAUAACCGGGACAACCCGAGGAAACUCGGGCUAAUACCGGAUGUGCCCACUGGACUUCGGUUCAGUGCGUAAAGGAAGCUUCGGCCUCCGUAUCGGGAGGGGCCCGCGGCCCACUAGUUAGUUGGUGAGGUAACGGCUCACCAAGACCGCGAUGGGUAGCUGGUCUGAGAGGACGAUCAGCCACACUGGGACUGAGACACGGCCCAGACUCCUACGGGAGGCAGCAGUGGGGAAUCUUGCGCAAUGCGCGAAAGCGUGACGCAGCAACACCGCGUGGGGGAAGAAGGCCUUCGGGUUGUAAACCCCUUUCAGGAGGGACGAAGGUUCGGCGGUGAAUAGCCGUCCGGACUGACGGUACCUGCACAAGAAGCCCCGGCUAACUAUGUGCCAGCCGCCGCGGUAA
RNAcentral lists this ribosomal RNA (509 nucleotides) under uncultured bacterium. Its description in RNAcentral is "partial 16S ribosomal RNA". It matches the Rfam family "Bacterial small subunit ribosomal RNA", at positions 28 to 523 of the family's 1533-position model. The record is from RNAcentral.